Molecule: long non-coding RNA, 2296 nt
Organism: Felis catus (domestic cat)
Lineage: Eukaryota; Metazoa; Chordata; Mammalia; Carnivora; Felidae
Exons: 2
Source: RefSeq, a predicted model, not a curated record
CGUCCCACUUAGCCAGAGCCAGGACACUGCUCUAAGCAAGUCAGCAACUACAUCUGCUCACUGGCGGCCCCGGGAAGCACGGCGUGUCACGUGUCCAGCAUGUGCGGCCCCACCUGACUCAGAGGAAACACGCGCAGCCCGGCAUCCACGCUUGGGGUCGCCCCUCAGGCCCGGUCGUACCCCGCCCCCCCCCUCCCCGCCCGCCCGCUGCAGACCACCUCCCCUCCCCCCUCGGGCCUAGAGCCCCAGCUGGCACUCAGCAGGUCCCUUUCCAAUUUGCUGCACUUUCGGGAGUUCGUUAUUCCCACGGGAAGCGAGGACCUCGUUGCCAUGGUGAUGUGAGCCUUCCAACCCCGAGACCCGCCCGGGAGGCGCAAUCCUUCCUUGCGCGGCCCCGCCUGAACUCCCGGGCUAAGGGCGGCCUCGGUGGGCCCGCCCUGCCCUGUGGGAGAAGGGUUUUAGGCUCCAGAUUCUUUGGGCUGGAGGGAAGGGGAGACAUUAAUUAAGAACCCAAGAAGGUAGGGGAAGGAAGACGAAUGGAUAAGAAGGUUUUUUUUUUUUUUUUUACAAGCCACUCUGCCCUUUCCUCCCACCCACCGGGACUCUUCAGUCAAAGGCGGUCUCUCUGGAUCAGGAGCAUUUGGGUGGGGACGUCGGACACUCUGCUUUCCUCUCAACGUCUUCCAGGAACCCCGGGGCAUUUUUUAAAGGUUCUGGAACUUAGCUCACUGGAAUGAAGCUUUAACCUCUCCUGCCCCUCCAGCCUGGGACUGAAAAGAAGCGGGGGAGCGAGCGGGUCGGAGCGACCAGCCGAGCCCGGUAACGGUGGGUGGAAGGGAGGGCGACGCCUUCGGCGCCCUGCGCUGCGCCGCCCAACCUGGGACCCGGAUCACCGCGCAGGGAGCGGCCGGGGUCAGGUUAGUGGGACACCACUUUGUUGCCGUCACCUCUACCCACAUCGUGCUUGGGACAGCAAGGGUAUGGCCGUGCAAUGCCGUGCAUCCCAAAUAUCUGUGAGAUGAGUAAAUGAGUGAAUACGUGAAUAAUUAAAGAAGAUCUAUGCUAAGAAAAGGCAUCCCAAGGUUGGCAUUGUGAGGGCCGCUGGAGCAGACAGUGGCUAAGGCCGCCUCUGAGCUUAACAGCUCUCCUUCCACUGGACGCAGGUCAGGGAGGACGUCCAGUUCGCCAGUCAUCUGUCAAAAGAGAUCCCCUUUCUGUCCUUUCCCUCGAGCUCUCUGAGAAACAUCACACCACCUCCAUGGUGGUGGAUCUCUGCUUCUCCAAACCUCAGGGAAGACAGUUCUCUCCAGUGGCCAACUCAGCUCCCUCUAACCGCAGUGUCAGUGAGUCCGUCUGCCUGCUCUGUCAAUGCCAACGGCUCUUCUCAGGGUCAGGGUAAAACAUCGUGAAAGCCAGCCCGGGAUGAAAGUCCACAGAAGGACUUGGUGGAAAGGAGGGGAGAGGCAUGUGCAGAAACACCGUUCAAGGUGAUGGGGAUCUGCAAGAGGCAGAGAGGGGCCCCGGGGAUUCACGUGGGAAGAGUAAUUACAUGCAACACAACAGCUCUCCAGGCCAGCAUCACUGCCCAGAGCGUGGCCCUGAACGAAGGUGGAUUGCUUCAAUUAUCUGAGCAUCUUGAUGAAUGGGCCCUGCACACGCUCUGGGGAAGAUGGAAGGAAACUAGCCACAGAUUAAUCACUCGUGGCAUCACUGAAUGGACGGUGUUUAGAGCCUGUGAGCGCCACGGGCACAACAGGUUCACAAAAGCAGAGAGGGAAACGGAAAGCAGUCAGGCCGUGAUUAGAAAAAAAAAGGGGAGGAAGCAAAUAUAACAUUAAGACUCCUCUUUUGGGGGCUAAUUUGCAUAAAGAUAGUGGCAAUUGAAGUAGCCCAAGUAGGUCUGGACAGUGGAGUAUAGUCCUGGAAUUGCCUGGCCUAAAGUGCAGCCAGGAGCUGGGGCCCCAAAGGUAACCCUGAACCAGAGAAGGAGGGUCUCAGACGCCAAAGGAGGGAGAGGCGAGGGAAGGAGACAAGAACUGCUGACACCAACCCAGGAAAGGUUUCCAGAGAAGAUGAAGCCAUGUGCCGUUCCAGCCUCUUCUAGGACUUUCACAGUAUGCACCAUUAGUGGGGUCUCAGUGCUUCUCUGCCCCAGAUUACUAUGGGGUAUGUGUGUAUUUAAAUAAAGAGAAUUACUUUUCCCUUGAGAAAUAUCUGAUUGUGUGUGUCCAGCAUUCAACAUAUGGUAUAUCAUAAAUGUUUGUUGAAUGAUUGAAUAAAAAUAGCGUUUGUUACA